CACGUAGGGGCCAAGCGUUGUCCGGAUUUAUUGGGCGUAAAGAGCUCGUAGGCGGUUCGACAAGUCGGGUGUGAAAACUCCGGGCUCAACCCGGAGACGCCACCCGAUACUGUCGUGACUGGAGUCCGGUAGGGGAGUGGGGAAUUCCUGGUGUAGCGGUGAAAUGCGCAGAUAUCAGGAGGAACACCGGUGGCGAAGGCGGUUCUCUGGGCCUUACCUGACGCUGAGGAGCGAAAGCAUGGGGAGCAAACAGG
This 254-nucleotide ribosomal RNA is filed under the name uncultured prokaryote. RNAcentral describes it as "partial 16S ribosomal RNA". It matches the Rfam family "Bacterial small subunit ribosomal RNA", at positions 524 to 776 of the family's 1533-position model. The record is from RNAcentral.